RNAcentral lists this transfer RNA (87 nucleotides) under Felis catus (domestic cat). It matches the Rfam family "tRNA". Rfam says of the family: Transfer RNA (tRNA) molecules are approximately 80 nucleotides in length. Their secondary structure includes four short double-helical elements and three loops (D, anti-codon, and T loops). Further hydrogen bonds mediate the characteristic L-shaped molecular structure. tRNAs have two regions of fundamental functional importance: the anti-codon, which is responsible for specific mRNA codon recognition, and the 3' end, to which the tRNAs corresponding amino acid is attached (by aminoacyl-tRNA synthetases). tRNAs cope with the degeneracy of the genetic code in two manners: having more than one tRNA (with a specific anti-codon) for a particular amino acid; and 'wobble' base-pairing, i.e. permitting non-standard base-pairing at the 3rd anti-codon position. The record is from Rfam by way of RNAcentral. Lineage: Eukaryota; Metazoa; Chordata; Mammalia; Carnivora; Felidae.
GCCUGGGUGGCUCAGUCGGUUGAGCGGCUGACUUCGGCUCAGGUCAUGAUCUUGAGGGGUCCGUGAGUUCGAGCCCCGCUUCGGGCU